UCAUUUUCAUAAAGGGAACUGGAACUUAGUAGGAUCCUUAGACUUUUGUUUGAGGUAGGGACAGCUCUGUUCCUGAAGCACAAGGUCUGGCAAUUAGCCACACCUGUUGACAAUAACCUUGAGAGAGCAGAACUCUCAGACCGCCUAGGUGGGGCCUUUGUUUGAAGCACUAUAACCUGGAAGGAAUUAGAAGAAUAUUCCAAACUCUCUGACCUUUGGUCUAGGUGGAAAUCGGCCUUUUGGGGCCUCCACGUCCUCCUGUGCAGCACCACCUUCCGGCUUAGGGCAGUGAGGAUCAACUUCAUGAGGCAGGGGAGCUCCUGUAUGGGUCAGUCUGCCCCUGAGUUCUGUCAGUAGGGAAGACAGCCUAACACAGCCUGGAUGGGUGGGUUCGCUGUCCUAGGAAUCUGUACUCGGCCUUGAAGCUCAGCUGUGUUGUCUGUUUUCUUAAAGAUUACUUUAUGCUUAUGUGUUUACAUUCCUGCCUGCAGGCACGUAUGUGUGCUCCAUGUACACCUGGUGGCAGUGGAGGCCAGAAGACUCCCCUGGAAAUGUAGUUAUAGACAGUUCUGAGCCAUCAGAUGGGUACUGGGAAAUUAACAUGGGUCCUCUGUGAGAACAAGUGCUCCAACCCUCCAACCACGAAGCCAUCGUAACAGCCAUUAGGUUCUUUCUUUAAUUUUUAAAAUUUAUUUUAAAAUUUGUGUGUUGCCCUGGCCUGCAGGUAAGUCAACGGAGACCCUAGAAAGGGAGUGAGAAUGGGAUGGGACAAGAGACACAAGAGAUAGAGACAAGACAGGAUUCUGAUCAAAUCUCGUUUAUUCAAGGGAAUAAUCCAGAGUUGCCAGAGAAACAGGAGGUGGAGCCAAAGCUGAUUAUGAGAGAAGGGUCCAUCUUCACUGGCCCCCAAGACUGCCAAUGCUUGUUCAACCCCCAGCACCGCGGCAGAAAUCAUCACUCCUUUUGGACCCUAUGUCUUCUGCAGCUGUUUGGUCUGUCACAUGUACUACCCAUGUUUCCAUUUUAA
Molecule: non-coding RNA, 1027 nt
Organism: Myodes glareolus (Bank vole)
Lineage: Eukaryota; Metazoa; Chordata; Mammalia; Rodentia; Cricetidae
Source: RefSeq, a predicted model, not a curated record